Molecule: long non-coding RNA, 1642 nt
Filed under: Homo sapiens (human)
Lineage: Eukaryota; Metazoa; Chordata; Mammalia; Primates; Hominidae
Description: HSALNT0331147
Source: RNAcentral
CAGCUUCUUUGUGCGUGAUGCAAGUGUCACGCCUGGUCCGACCAAUCUCUCUGGCCCUACGUGAAUCAGACACGCCUCCUCAAGCUCAUCUAUAAAAUCCCAUGCAUUUCAUUGUGGAGCCGGAAGUCCCACCCGGGAGCCCCUCUCUCUCCUAAGAGAGAGAGCUAUUCUCUUUCUUUUGCUUAUUGAACCUCCAGGGUUAAACUCACUUCUUGUAUGUCCGCGUUGUUGAUUUCCCUGGCACGAGACGACGAACCUCGGGUACUUACCCCAGACCACAACGCCGCUUCAAAGGCACAAUUCCCCUUUCAUGUUUGAGGGAAAAGUGCUGUGGGUCCUUGAGUGUUUGGUGACAGAAGCUGCUGCGGGGGAAGGGGGCUGCUGAGAUGGAGGAUCGCUUGAGCCCAGCAGGUGGAGGCUGCAGUGAGCCACGAUCUCACUAUGGCACUCCAGCCUGAGCAACAAAGUGAGACCAUCUUGGGGGAUAAAACAAAAACACCACAAAAUAAAACCAAAAAAACUCAAAAGUUGUACAAUGGCUGGGAACAAUGGCUCAUGCCUGUAAUCCCAGCACUUUGGAAGGUGGGAGGAUCACUUGAGGCCAGGAGUUCAAGACGAGUUUGGGCAGCAUGGCAAGACCCUGCCUCUAAUUUUAAAAAUAAAAAAUAAAAAUAAACUUUGUAAGAGCAAAUGUGAGUUUUGAUUGUGAGUCCUAAAAUGUGGCCACUUCCUCUCUUAAAAACUGACUCUCAGCUAAGACAGGUGCUCGAGGUCAUGUAAUUAGUUAGUAGGGAGGCAGAUAAGGAGGCCAGAGGGAAGUCCUUGAGCUCUGUCAAGCUCAGGUGGCUCAGGCCCACCUCUGCAGUUCUUGUCUGCCUUACUGGCUUCCAUUAAGCCCAUGAGUAUGGCUCAGAGGCCAGAACUGGGUAUAUAUUUUAGGAGUAGGGACAAGGUAGUUGAAAUGACAUUUCUAUUCACUUUAAGGAAGUACAGUACAGACUUCUUAGUACAUAUUCUUUCUCUUUGAUCCAACCACCAAGAGAGACACAUCAGUUUGGAGUAGGAAACAAAGAAAAAGGAGGGCCCUUUUCUCUAGUAUUGUAAACCCAAGAAUUCCAGAAACACAAUUUUAGGAGUGAGAAUAAUAAUAAUAAGGCCGGGGGCGGUGGCUCAUGCCUGUAAUCCCAGCACUUUGAGAGGCCAAGGUGGGCAGAUCACGAGAUCAGGAGUUCGAGACCAGCCUGAUCAACAUGGUGAAACCCCAUGUCUACUAAAAAUGCAAAAAUUAGCCAGGCAUGGUGGCGCACGCCUGUAAUCCCAGCUACUCAGGAGGCUGAGGCAGGAGAAUCUCUUGAACCCAGGAGGUGGAGGUUACAGUGAGCUGAGAUCGCACCACUGCACUCCAGCCUGGGUAACAGAGCAAGACUCCAUCUCAAAAUAUUAAUAAUAACUACAACAUUGGUGGAGUGCUUUCCAAGUGCUAGGCAUUUGAUAUAGGGAUCUCCUUUCUACCUCCCCACAAGCCUAUGUCAUAGAUACUGUCAUUAUACAGUAUCUCAUUUUAAGGCGACCAAGGUUCAAAAACGUUAACUAAUCUGCAAAGCCAGGAUUCAAAUCCAGGCACGCAGGUCCUGCCUGUUUC